UGUCAUCGUGAGGUUGUCACCUGAUGUUUGUCCCGUGAUGAGGAAGUAUAAAGAGUAACAGUUUGAACUUGAGCUUCAGGAGUGUGACAACAUCGGAGCUGUUCGAACGACGAGGUUUGGAAUUCUGACAGCGGGAGGUGACCCGGACAAGAUGGUGGCCGUCCUGUUCAUCUGCUCCUUGUUCUUCCUGGGUGCUUUAGGAAGUCAACCGAAACGUUGCACUUCACCGGAUCUCCUGGAAUAUCAGAAGACUGUAGU
Molecule: long non-coding RNA, 258 nt
Organism: Rhincodon typus (whale shark)
Lineage: Eukaryota; Metazoa; Chordata; Chondrichthyes; Orectolobiformes; Rhincodontidae
Exons: 3
Source: RefSeq, a predicted model, not a curated record